Molecule: ribosomal RNA, 439 nt
Filed under: uncultured bacterium
Lineage: Bacteria
Description: partial 16S ribosomal RNA
Rfam family: Bacterial small subunit ribosomal RNA
Source: RNAcentral
CUACGGGGGGCUGCAGUGGGGAAUAUUGGACAAUGGGCGCAAGCCUGAUCCAGCAAUGCCGCGUGAGUGAAGACGGCCUUAGGGUUGUAAAACUCUUUCGCUAGGGAAGAUAAUGACUGUACCUAGUAAAGAAGUCCCGGCUAACUCCGUGCCAGCAGCCACGGUAAUACGGAGGGGACUAGCGUUGUUCGGAAUUACUGGGCGUAAAGAGUUCGUAGGCGGACUGACAAGUUAGAGGUGAAAUCCCAGGGCUCAACCCUGGAACUGCCUUUAAAACUGUCAGUCUAGAGACCGGAAGAGGUUAGGGGAAUACCUAGUGUAGAGGUGAAAUUCGUAGAUAUUAGGUGGAACACCAGUGGCGAAGGCGCCUAACAGGUCCGGUACUGACGCUGAGGAACGAAAGCGUGGGGAGCAAACAGGAUUAGAUACCCGGGUAGUC